RNAcentral lists this ribosomal RNA (498 nucleotides) under uncultured bacterium. RNAcentral's name for it is "partial 16S ribosomal RNA". It matches the Rfam family "Bacterial small subunit ribosomal RNA", at positions 28 to 507 of the family's 1533-position model. The record is from RNAcentral.
GACGAACGCUGGCGGCGUGCCUAAUACAUGCAAGUCGAACGAGAGCGACCGGUGCUUGCACUGGUCAAUCUAGUGGCGAACGGGUGAGUAACACGUGGGUAACCUGCUCAUCAGAGGGGGAUAACAUCCGGAAACGGAUGCUAAAACCGCAUAGGUCUUCGAGCCGCAUGGCUUGAAGAGGAAAAGAGGCGCAAGCUUCUGCUGAUGGAUGGACCCGCGGUGCAUUAGCUAGUUGGUGAGGUAACGGCUCACCAAGGCCGUGAUGCAUAGCCGACCUGAGAGGAUGAUCGGCCACAUUGGAACUGAGACACGGCCCAAACUCCUACGGGAGGCAGCAGUAGGGAAUCUUCCGCAAUGGACGCAAGUCUGACGGAGCAACGCCGCGUGAGUGAAGAAGGUUUUCGGAUCGUAAAACUCUGUUGUUAGAGAAGAACAAGUGCUAGAGUAACUGUUAGCGCCUUGACGGUAUCUAACCAGAAAGCCACGGCUAACUACGUG